This 650-nucleotide ribosomal RNA is filed under the name uncultured bacterium. RNAcentral describes it as "bacterial SSU rRNA". It matches the Rfam family "Bacterial small subunit ribosomal RNA", at positions 8 to 673 of the family's 1533-position model. The record is from RNAcentral.
AGGGUUUGAUCAUGGCUCAGGACGAACGCUGGCGGCGGGCCUAACACAUGCAAGUCGAACGCACUCGACCUUCGGGUCAUAUGAGUGAGUGGCGAACGGGUGAGUAACACGUGAGAAACCUGCCCCGAAGACUGGAAUAACCCGAGGAAACUCGGGCUAAUACCGGAUGCCCCCAACUGAUCGCAUGAUCAGUUGAGGAAAUGCUCCGGCGCUUCGGGAGGGUCUCGCGGCCUAUCAGCUAGUUGGUGAGGUAACGGCUCACCAAGGCAACGACGGGUAGCUGGUCUGAGAGGACGAUCAGCCACACUGGGACUGAGACACGGCCCAGACUCCUACGGGAGGCAGCAGUGGGGAAUCUUGCGCAAUGGACGAAAGUCUGACGCAGCCACGCCGCGUGAGGGAUGAAGGCUUUCGGGUCGUAAACCUCUUUCAGCAGGGAAGAAAAUGACGGUACCUGCAGAAGAAGCUCCGGCCAACUACGUGCCAGCAGCCGCGGUAACACGUAGGGAGCAAGCGUUGUCCGGAUUUAUUGGGCGUAAAGAGCUCGUAGGCUGCUCAGUAAGUCAGGUGUGAAAACUCGAGGCUCAACCUCGAGACGCCACUUGAUACUGCUGUGACUAGAGUCCGGUAGAGGAGUGUGGAAUUCCUGG